GCGGCGCCUGAAGCUCAGCUUCCCAGGCUCUGCUGAAUCUACCCUUCCUUUAGUGCGCGCAGCCACCAGGUGGCAGCCGAGGCCACGGGCAGGCAGAACAGCGCUCUAAACUGUAGGCCUGCCAGGCAGCAGCGUUCCCAAGGGCUCCCAGGACCUUCAACCAGAAAGAGAGAGUGAGCAUAUGUGCAUGUCCGUGCAAGGAAUGUACUACAAAGCCAAUUUUACUGGCAAAGGAGGAAUGGAGGAUCUGAAAGGCUAGGGGAUCCCACAGGCAGUGAGGAGCAGGUCUGGAAUUUGAACCAAUCGGCAUGAUUCCCACGCUCAAGCUUUUGGCCACCGUCCGCACUGCCAGGGACAGAAAAAAAAACCUGGGAGGAGAGCCAAGCCAAGCUGGGGAGUCAGGACCUCCCAGCCAGGUCUGGAUGGGAGGUAGGUGCCUCCACCCUGGUCCCAGAGCAAGUUCUGCUGGCUUCAGCCACCUGACUUGCCUGUGAAGUUGGGCAAAGAGGCCAGAGCAGACUGUGUGUGAUUCUGGCCCCACCCCCAGCACCUCUACCCCCACCUUUCCUACCCCUAGGCUGCGGGAAGAGGCUUUGCCCAGCAAUAGUCCUGAUCUGAUGGCCGCUUGAAGCACAAUAAACAGAUAGUAUUUC
Molecule: long non-coding RNA, 653 nt
Organism: Mandrillus leucophaeus (drill)
Lineage: Eukaryota; Metazoa; Chordata; Mammalia; Primates; Cercopithecidae
Exons: 2
Source: RefSeq, a predicted model, not a curated record